RNAcentral lists this non-coding RNA (262 nucleotides) under Acetobacter persici. The record is from RNAcentral. Lineage: Bacteria; Pseudomonadati; Pseudomonadota; Alphaproteobacteria; Acetobacterales; Acetobacteraceae.
CGAUGCUUGCCACAUGAUGGUGUCCCGCGAGGGAUGAAAAGGGAAGACCGGUGCGCAGCAUCCGCUGCAAGGCCGUCGCUGCCCCCGCAACUGUAAGUGAUUGCAUGGUCCGCUAUGGGCCUGCCGCCUCUGGCGGGCAGGUCCAUGCCACCGGCUCCGGUAAGGGGGCCGGGAAGGCAGCCGGACCCGCAGGCUGCACGGGUUCUCCCGCGCAGACCCGCACGACACAAGCCAGGAGACCUGCCAUCAUCCGCGCUGCCCU